Molecule: non-coding RNA, 143 nt
Organism: Paenibacillus sp. Soil522
Lineage: Bacteria; Bacillati; Bacillota; Bacilli; Caryophanales; Paenibacillaceae
Source: Rfam
CGAAGGGUUACCUCAUACCCUGUCAGGCUAGGAUGGCAUGCGUCGGAUUCGAGCAAAUCCGGGGUGUGAAGCCCAUCUAACAAUGUAUCUGUGAGGAAAAUAUCUUUCCAAGAAGCAGGGCUAGCCUCAAUGACCUGCCAUGG